CUUUGCAGAGGCUGAGCUUUACAGGCCUAGCCAUCCUGAAAUAGCUGAGACAUGAUCAUCCAUUACCUUGAUGCCUGUCUUUCAGGGAGACAGUUCCAGAGACUGGCCCAGGAAAACAAAUUAUAUAUUCCUCCUCAUUAAAAUGUCUCAGCAAGACCCUUAAAUCAGGCUUUGAGGUCCAGGUUCCAACUACUUCUCAGUUAGAAUUUCUCCUGGGCGUUUUGGUGGUUCUUGCCAAAUUGGGUAGUUCCCAAUGUGGGGACUGUUUCUAAAUCAGGGUCUGAGAGCAACCAGCCUCCUUAGGAAAACGACGAAAGAAAUUCAAAUGGAAAAGAAGUAUUAAUUAGCCCUUAUAUAGCACUUCAUGGCUUUCUCAGGUGCAAUUUUAAGUGCUUUACAUAGAUAGGUAUUGAGAUAGACUAUAUUAUUGUCCCAUAUGUUCUCUGUACCUCUUUGUGGGAGGAUUACACCUCCCUACCAUGUUGACAUCAAGCUUAGCCAUGUAACUGUUUUGCCAAGGAAAUGUAGACAGAAGACACAUACAUCAUUUUCAAGAAGAAGCCUAAAGAGCCGUUUCAUGGAUCCACCAUCAACCAUACUUCCUGCUGCCCUAACACCAGCAAUGAUGUAGAUAAGGGCUCCUCCUUCAGUCUGGUUCCAGAGGGAAAGGCUAAAGCCAGCCUGCAAUGGACAUGUGAUAUAAGCAAGAAAUACAUCUUUGUUCCUGUAAGCCACCGAGUGUUUGGAGUUGUUUGUUAUCACAGAACAACUUAGUGUGAGCUAUUAUCAUUAUCACCAUUUAACAAAUGAAGGAACCAAGGCAGAGACUGUGCAGCUUAAAGAAUCUCAUCCAACCAGGAAGUGGGAGAACUAGGAUUCACAUCUGGGCAGCCUGGCUUCAUAGUCCAUGCUCUCAACCACUUGACUAAUUGCCUCUGAAAGUGUCUGUUGUUUUCCUUCAAAACUCCUUUAGCUGACAGUAUCUCCACGCAUGCCGUUUUUCUUCAUUUCCCAUGGAGGUAAUUAAGAAUAACUGGCAGAUCAUUUGUUUCUCAGUAGGUAGAGGAGACCAGGUAGAUGACUCUGUGUAAGAAAACAACAGGUGGCCGGGCGUGGUGGCUCAUGCCUGUAACCCCAGCACUUUGGGAGGCCGAGGUGGGUGGAUCACAAGGUCAGGAGAUCAAGACCAGCCUGGCCAACAUGGUGAAACCCUGUCUCUACUAAAAAUACAAAAAUCAGCUGGGUGUGGCGGCGCAUGACUGUAAUCCCAACUACUCUGGAAGCGGAGGCAAGAGAAUCUCUUGAACCUGGGAGGCGGAGGUUGCGGUGAGCCGAGAUCGCACCACUGCAUUCCAGCCAGAGCUAGACUCCGUCUCAAAAAAAAAAAACAAAACAAAACAUAAUAGGUUACUGAAGGAGCCAGACUCAUUGGUAUGCAAAACCAGAAACAACUUUAUUUUUUCCAUGUCGCAGUCUUGCAGGAAUUAACAAACUAUUCAUCAUUAGAGAUUUAAAAACUGAGACCAAGCCUAAUAUCAAAACACUAACUUCCCAACUAUUUGAAAGCUGCUCUCCUGCCUCAGGUUUGGAAUUUGCAGUAGGAAGGGAGUCACGGCUGGCUUCCUCCUUAUUUCCCUUCCACGCCUCCUCCACUCACCUGGCUACCUCAAGCUCUUGCAAAAUGGGGGCUGGGAGUGGGGUGGGGGUAAGAGGCAGGGAAAAUUCUCACUUGGCUUUAGUGCCCUCUGGGUUUGGCAGGAGGUCCCAUGUUGCCUCUUUGUGACAAGGGCCUCUAUGAUGGAUCCCCCAGAAAGUCUGUUGGGAC
This 1825-nucleotide long non-coding RNA is filed under the name Homo sapiens (human). RNAcentral describes it as "HSALNT0236944". The record is from RNAcentral. Lineage: Eukaryota; Metazoa; Chordata; Mammalia; Primates; Hominidae.